RNAcentral lists this long non-coding RNA (837 nucleotides) under Homo sapiens (human). Its description in RNAcentral is "HSALNT0383689". Lineage: Eukaryota; Metazoa; Chordata; Mammalia; Primates; Hominidae. The record is from RNAcentral.
UGGUAGAGAAGGAGACACAUUUGUGCAAUAUUUAGGAAGCAAAAUUGUAGAGCAGGAAUGGAUCUGAAGUCAAUGAAAAACUCUUCAUAGCUCUAGUUGUUGGGCUUCCCCAGAAGAUGACAUUGAAAGGAAGGUUUGGAUGCAAGUUGUUCAUUUAGGAGGAGAUCUCAGGAAGCACAAAGUAUUUCCUUGAGUCAGGACCUCCAAGUCCUCCCCUAACUCCAGGUAUGCUGGGUGCUGGAGAGAGCCCUGGACUUGGAGUCAAAAGACUGCAGUUGGAGCAGAGGAUCUUCCCUCAGAAGUUCUGCUGUGGGCUGAGUCGUUUCACCUCUCUGGGCCCCAGAUGGACCUUUGUAAAACUGAGUGGAGGCGAGGAGGUGCAGCAGGUCCAUAAAUUCAUCAGCUUCCCAGGCUGCUUCCACCUUUGCUACAUGUGGCCUCAUCCUUACAGCCCAAGAUGGCUCCUAGGGCUCUAGCCAUCACAUGCUGGUACCAGAGAGCAAGAUGACUGAAGGGGAGGAAAGAGAGCAUGUGCUUGUCUCGUGAAGAGAUUUCCUGGAAGUUACACAAAACAUUUCUGUUUUCAGCUUGUUGACUAGAACAUAGUCGUCUGUCAUACUUAGUGUGGAGGGUGACCAAAGAGGGAGUGUUUUGUCUGAAUAGCAUUGCAUCCAGCCAGAUAGCGAGGGCAAGUAGCUGGAGGGAAGAGGAAGACAGACAUUGUAGAGGAAGCUAGCAGUGACUCCCCCCCAGAUUAUAUCCUAUUAAUAAAAGUAAGAACCUAAUUUAUGCCAUGUGCCUGGGCCUCACAGGGCCAUCACACCUCCAUGAAACAAA